AUGAACGCUGGCGGCGUGCCUAAUACAUGCAAGUCGAGCGAACAGACGAGGAGCUUGCUCCUCUGACGUUAGCGGCGGACGGGUGAGUAACACGUGGAUAACCUACCUAUAAGACUGGGAUAACUUCGGGAAACCGGAGCUAAUACCGGAUAAUAUAUUGAACCGCAUGGUUCAAUAGUGAAAGACGGUUUUGCUGUCACUUAUAGAUGGAUCCGCGCCGCAUUAGCUAGUUGGUAAGGUAACGGCUUACCAAGGCAACGAUGCGUAGCCGACCUGAGAGGGUGAUCGGCCACACUGGAACUGAGACACGGUCCAGACUCCUACGGGAGGCAGCAGUAGGGAAUCUUCCGCAAUGGGCGAAAGCCUGACGGAGCAACGCCGCGUAAGUGAUGAAGGUCUUCGGAUCGUAAAACUCUGUUAUUAGGGAAGAACAAAUGUGUAAGUAACUAUGCACGUCUUGACGGUACCUAAUCAGAAAGCCACGGCUAACUACGUG
Molecule: ribosomal RNA, 496 nt
Filed under: uncultured bacterium
Lineage: Bacteria
Description: partial 16S ribosomal RNA
Rfam family: Bacterial small subunit ribosomal RNA
Source: RNAcentral